Molecule: ribosomal RNA, 448 nt
Filed under: uncultured bacterium
Lineage: Bacteria
Description: partial 16S ribosomal RNA
Rfam family: Bacterial small subunit ribosomal RNA
Source: RNAcentral
GCCAGACUCCUACGGGAGGCAGCAGUGGGGGAUAUUGCACAAUGGGGGAAACCCUGAUGCAGCGACGCCGCGUGGGCGAAGAAGUAUUUCGGUAUGUAAAGCCCUAUCAGCAGGGAAGAAGAAAUGACGGUACCUGAGUAAGAAGCCCCGGCUAACUACGUGCCAGCAGCCGCGGUAAUACGUAGGGGGCAAGCGUUAUCCGGAUUCACUGGGUGUAAAGGGAGCGUAGACGGCGACGCAAGUCUGGAGUGAAAGCCCGGGGCCCAGCCCCGGGACUGCUCUGGAAACUGCGUCGCUGGAGUACGGGAGGGGCAGGCGGAAUUCCUGGUGUAGCGGUGAAAUGCGUAGAUAUCAGGAGGAACACCGGCGGAGAAGGCGGCCUGCCGGACUGCGACUGACGUUGAGGCCCGAAAGCGUGGGGAGCAAACAGGAUUAGAUACCCUCGUAA